UAACAUUCCUUUAGUCAUCUAGUGUUAAAGAACUUAUGCGAGUUUGCAAGAUUGUGGAAGAUUUAUGAGCGAGUUGUCAAGUAUCAUAUUGAGUGUUUAGUAAAAACCUGAGUAUGUGACAUACUGUCUUGUAUUAUUUGUUCAUUUUCUCCUUUAUAUAUCAUUUAAGAAAUUAUAAAUAAGAAAGGUAUUGGUACUUACUUACCAUUUAAGUCUUUUUAAUAUAUUAUCUAUUUAUGUGUCUUACCCAUCAAUAUCAAG
RNAcentral lists this long non-coding RNA (261 nucleotides) under Capsicum annuum. RNAcentral's name for it is "long non-coding RNA (CANN_LNC004756)". Lineage: Eukaryota; Viridiplantae; Streptophyta; Magnoliopsida; Solanales; Solanaceae. The record is from RNAcentral.